UACAGAGGGUGCAAGCGUUAAUCGGAAUUACUGGGCGUAAAGGGUGCGUAGGUGGUUUUUUAAGUCAGAUGUGAAAGCCCUGGGCUCAACCUAGGAAUUGCAUUUGAUACUGAAUAACUUGAGUAUGGUAGAGGGAAGUGGAAUUUCCAGUGUAGCGGUGAAAUGCGUAGAUAUUGGAAGGAACAUCAGUGGCGAAGGCGACUUCCUGGACCAUUACUGACACUGAGGCACGAAAGCGUGGGGAGCGAACAGG
This 253-nucleotide ribosomal RNA is filed under the name uncultured bacterium. RNAcentral describes it as "partial 16S ribosomal RNA". It matches the Rfam family "Bacterial small subunit ribosomal RNA", at positions 524 to 776 of the family's 1533-position model. The record is from RNAcentral.